This 898-nucleotide ribosomal RNA is filed under the name Dendrobium goldschmidtianum. RNAcentral's name for it is "eukaryotic LSU rRNA". The stretch from base 359 to 514 matches the Rfam family "5.8S ribosomal RNA". The record is from RNAcentral. Lineage: Eukaryota; Viridiplantae; Streptophyta; Magnoliopsida; Asparagales; Orchidaceae.
GAUCGCUGUGAUGCGGGCGGUUCGCCGCCCGUGACUCUGCGAGAAGUCCAUUGAACCUUAUCAUUUAGAGGAAGGAGAAGUCGUAACAAGGUUUCCGUAGGUGAACCUGCGGAAGGAUCAUUGUCGAGACUGAAAUACAUUGAGCGAUUUAGAGAACCGAUCAAAACAAGCGGUGGCUAUUACAUCCGCUAUAAAAGCCAUCCCAUUCUUCACCUCAUCCCCUUGGGGGCGGGGUCGUGAAUCGGGGUGGAUGAACACUCAAACCGGCGCAACAUCGCGCCAAGGUAUAUAUCAAAAAGCGAGCCGUCAAAAGGGUUUCGUGGCAAGGGGUGAUGUUGCAUGCCCUAAGGAUUGACAUGACUCUCGGCAAUGGAUAUCUCGGCUCUCGCAUCGAUGAAGAGCGCAGCGAAAUGCGAUAUGUGGUGCGAAUUGCAGAAUCCCGCGAACCAUCGAGUCUUUGAACGCAAGUUGCGCCCGAGGCCAAACGGACAAGGGCACGUCUGCCUGGGCGUCAAGCAUUAUGUCGCUCCGAGUUAGCACCAUACCAUCGAUGGAUGGGUUGGACAAGGCUUGGAUGUGCAGAGUGGCUCAUCGUUCCCUUUGGAGCGGUGGGUUGAAGAGUAGGUCAUCAUCUCGUUGGCUGCGAUCAAUAAGGGGUGGAUUAAAAUGAGUCCUGUGUUAUUGUCUCGUGUAUGCCUGAGAGGAGAUUAUACAUACUCAUGUGAUCCCAAAUCAUGCGCCGAUCCAUGGAUGGUGUUUCGAAUGCGACCCCAGGAUGGGCGGGGCUACCCGCUGAGUUUAAGCAUAUCAAUAAGCGGAGGAGAAGAAACUUACGAGGAUUCCCCUAGUUUAAGCAUAUCAAUAAGCGGAGGAGAAGAAACUUACGAGGAUUCCCCUA